CUGGGGGAUAACGUAGCGAAAGUUACGCUAAUACCGUAUACGAUCUACGGAUGAAAGCGGGGGAUCGCAAGACCUCGCGCGAAUGGAGCGGCCGAUAUCAGAUUAGGUGGUUGGUGGGGUAAAGGCUCACCAAGCCAACGAUCUGUAGCUGGUCUGAGAGGACGACCAGCCACACUGGAACUGAGACACGGUCCAGACUCCUACGGGAGGCAGCAGUGGGGAAAUUUUGGACAAUGGGCGCAAGCCUGAUCCAGCCAUUCCGCGUGCAGGAUGAAGGCCUUCGGGUUGUAAACUGCUUUUGUACGGAACGAAACGGUCUGCCCUAAUACGGUGGGCUAAUGACGGUACCGUAAGAAUAAGCACCGGCUAACUACGUG
Molecule: ribosomal RNA, 377 nt
Filed under: uncultured bacterium
Lineage: Bacteria
Description: bacterial SSU rRNA
Rfam family: Bacterial small subunit ribosomal RNA
Source: RNAcentral